This 514-nucleotide ribosomal RNA is filed under the name uncultured bacterium. Its description in RNAcentral is "partial 16S ribosomal RNA". It matches the Rfam family "Bacterial small subunit ribosomal RNA", at positions 28 to 523 of the family's 1533-position model. The record is from RNAcentral.
GAUGAACGCUGGCGGCGUGCCUAAUACAUGCAAGUCGAGCGAACAGAUGAGAAGCUUGCUACUCUGAUGUUAGCGGCGGACGGGUGAGUAACACGUGGGUAACCUACCUAUAAGACUGGGAUAACUCCGGGAAACCGGGGCUAAUCCCGUAUAAUAUUUUGCACCGCAUGGUUCAAUAGUGAAAGACGGUUUCGGCUGUAACUUAUAGAUGGACUCGCGCCGGAUUAGCUAGUUGGUAAGGUAAUGGCUUACCAAGGCGACGAUACGUAGCCGACCUGAGAGGGUGAUCGGCCACACUGGAACUGAGACACGGUCCAGACUCCUACGGGAGGCAGCAGUAGGGAAUCUUCCGCAAUGGGCGAAAGCCUGACGGAGCAACGCCGCGUGAGUGAUGAAGGUCUUCGGGUCGUAAAACUCUGUUGUUAGGGAAGAACAAAUUUGUUAGUAACUGAACAAGUCUUGACGGUACCUAACCAGAAAGCCACGGCUAACUACGUGCCAGCAGCCGCGGUAA